RNAcentral lists this ribosomal RNA (1130 nucleotides) under uncultured bacterium. RNAcentral's name for it is "bacterial SSU rRNA". It matches the Rfam family "Bacterial small subunit ribosomal RNA", at positions 8 to 1184 of the family's 1533-position model. The record is from RNAcentral.
AGAGUUUGAUCCUGGCUCAGAACGUACGCUGGCGGCACGCCUAACACAUGCAAGUCGAACGAAGUAGCAAUACUUAGUGGCAGACGGGUGAGUAACAUGUGGGUAUCUGCCCUUUGGCCUGGAAUAACACGAGGAAACUUGUGCUAAUACCGGAUAAGUCUUUACGGAGAAAGCUUUAUGCACCAUUGGAUGAGCCUGCACUUGAUUAGUUUGUUGGUGGGGUAAUGGCCUACCAAGACUGUGAUCAAUAGCUGAUUUGAGAGGAUGAUCAGCCACAUUGGGACUGAGACACGGCCCAAACUCCUACGGGAGGCAGCAGUGGGGAAUCCUGCACAAUGGAGGAAACUCUGAUGCAGCGAUGCCGCGUGAGUGAAGAAGGCCUUUGGGUUGUAAAGCUCUUUCGUCGGGGAAGAAAAUGACUGUACCCGAAUAAGAAGGUCCGGCUAACUUCGUGCCAGCAGCCGCGGUAAUACGAAGGGACCUAGCGUAGUUCGGAAUUACUGGGCUUAAAGAGUUCGUAGGUGGUUGAAAAAGUUGGUGGUGAAAUCCCAGAGCUUAACUCUGGAACUGCCAUCAAAACUUUUCAGCUAGAGUGUGAUAGAGGAAAGCAGAAUUUCUAGUGUAGAGGUGAAAUUCGUAGAUAUUAGAAAGAAUACCAAUUGCGAAGGCAGCUUUCUGGAUCAUUACUGACACUGAGGAACGAAAGCAUGGGUAGCGAAGAGGAUUAGAUACCCUCGUAGUCCAUGCCGUAAACGAUGUGUGUUAGACGUUGGAAAUUUAUUUUCAGUGUCGCAGCGAAAGCGAUAAACACACCGCCUGGGGAGUACGACCGCAAGGUUAAAACUCAAAUGAAUUGACGGGGACCCGCACAAGUAGUGGAGCAUGUGGUUUAAUUCGAAGAUACGCGCAGAACCUUACCAACACUUGACAUGUUCGUCGCGACUUUAAGAGAUUAAAGUUUUCGGUUCGGCCGGACGAAACACAGGUGCUGCAUGGCUGUCGUCAGCUCGUGUCGUGAGAUGUUGGGUUAAGUCCCGCAACGAGCGCAACCCUCACUUUUAGUUGCCAUCAUUUAGUUGGGCACUCUGAAAGAACUGCCAGUGAUAAGCUGGAGGAAGGUGGGGAUGACG